RNAcentral lists this unclassified non-coding RNA (1537 nucleotides) under Hevea brasiliensis (rubber tree). The record is from RNAcentral. Lineage: Eukaryota; Viridiplantae; Streptophyta; Magnoliopsida; Malpighiales; Euphorbiaceae.
UUUUUUUUUUUUUUUUCCCUUUUUCCUCUGUGCCUAAGUAACACAGCAGGUGUGUGAGUGUGUCUUAGUCUCACUACUGCUGCCAUCAGCGGCACCAUUCGCCGGCUACCCUACACCCAAAGUCGUGUUGCCGGAUUCUUCUCCAUGCGCUGCCCCGCACCGCCACAAGCAUCUGCUCUACUGUUCACGCAUCGGCACAUGAGACUUCUCCAGUAAACCCUUCUCACCAGAACCUGUGCCCUGCAUCUGGAUCUUUUAUGUUGAUCCUCUUUUACCACAGUACAGUAUCUCAACCUCUUUUUAUCUCAACAGACUUUAUCCUUUUAUCACAAUAGAGUAUCUCAGCUAGCUACUAUCUUUUAAAAAAAAAAAAUGAUGAUGAGUGAUAAGGCAAUCACCCUCAUUAGAGCAGAUUGUGAACAAUAUUUACAAUACCAAUACACCAAACAGUCGUUACCCUCUUCUCUUACAUGUGCCUCCCAGUCUGGUAAUUUUUUUUCUUGUGCGACUCAAUCCUCUUUUGAACCAUGGAUUCUUGAUUCCGGCGCUUCUGACCACAUUUCAGGUAAUAAAAAUAUUUUCUCUACUCUUAUCUCUUCUUCUACCAUCUCUACUGUCACUUUAGCCAAUGGAUCAAAAACUGUAAUUAAUGGAAUAAGGGAAACAAAACCUCUUCCGUCUAUUCUUUUAACCUCAGUAUUAUUUGUUCCGGAGUGUCCAUAUAAUCUUAUCUCAGUAAGUAAGUUAACCAAACAACUUAAUUGCUCUAUCACAUUCUUAACUAACUCUAUUCUUGUGCAGGACCGACGUACGAAGAAGGUGAUUGGCACAAGACAUGAGUCACAAGGAUUGUGUCAUCUCUCCAGACCAGAAUCCCCAGUUGCCUUUACUUCUAAUGCUUGUCCUGAUCUUCUCCAUAGCUGUUGGGCCAUUUUAGCAUCACUAAACUCCGAAAACUGGUUCCCUCUCUUUCCUGCUUAUCUUCUUUAAUUUGUGAGUCAUGUCAACUUGAAAAGCAACCCCGUUCUUCUUUUCCUAAAAGACUUAACAAUCAAGCUGCAUCCAUGUUUGAUAUUGUUCAUUGAGACAUUUAGGGUCUGAGUCGUAUUAGUUCAACUCUGGGUUUUCAUUACUUUGUUGCCUUUAUUGAUCAUUAUUCUCAUUGCACCAGUUAUUUUUGAUAAAAAAUCAUUAUGAGUUGUUCUCCAUCUUUUAAAAUUUUUGCGCUAAGAUACACAAUCAAUUUGGUAUUUCCAUUAAAGUGUUACGUAGUGACAAUGCACAAGAAUAUUUUUCUUUCCUUUCAAACCUUCAUGUCAUCUCAAGGGAUUAUUGAUCGAUCUUCGUGUGCUCAUACUCCUCAACAAAAUGGAGUAACAGAGCAUAAGAAUAGGCAUCUUAUUGAAACCGCAAGCACCUUACUCAAACACCAUCAUGUUCCACUUCGUAUUUGGGGGAUGUUGUUCUUACUGUUUGUUACUUGAUUAAUCAUAUGCCUUUUUCUGUAUUACUAUUGGAAUCCUACUAGAUUGUAAAC